This 544-nucleotide ribosomal RNA is filed under the name uncultured Flavobacterium sp. RNAcentral's name for it is "bacterial SSU rRNA". It matches the Rfam family "Bacterial small subunit ribosomal RNA", at positions 90 to 632 of the family's 1533-position model. Lineage: Bacteria; Pseudomonadati; Bacteroidota; Flavobacteriia; Flavobacteriales; Flavobacteriaceae. The record is from RNAcentral.
AGAGACCGGCGCACGGGUGCGUAACGCGUAUGCAAUCUACCUUUCACAAAGGGAUAGCCCAGAGAAAUUUGGAUUAAUACCUUAUAGUAUAUAUGAAUGGCAUCAUUUAUAUAUUAAAGAUUUAUCGGUGAAAGAUGAGCAUGCGUCCCAUUAGCUAGUUGGUAAGGUAACGGCUUACCAAGGCAACGAUGGGUAGGGGUCCUGAGAGGGAGAUCCCCCACACUGGUACUGAGACACGGACCAGACUCCUACGGGAGGCAGCAGUGAGGAAUAUUGGACAAUGGGCGCAAGCCUGAUCCAGCCAUGCCGCGUGCAGGAUGACGGUCCUAUGGAUUGUAAACUGCUUUUAUACAGGAAGAAACACUUGCUCGUGAGCAAACUUGACGGUACUGUAAGAAUAAGGAUCGGCUAACUCCGUGCCAGCAGCCGCGGUAAUACGGAGGAUCCAAGCGUUAUCCGGAAUCAUUGGGUUUAAAGGGUCCGUAGGCGGUCAGAUAAGUCAGUGGUGAAAGCCCAUCGCUCAACGGUGGAACGGCCAUUGAUA